Molecule: long non-coding RNA, 650 nt
Filed under: Oryctolagus cuniculus (rabbit)
Lineage: Eukaryota; Metazoa; Chordata; Mammalia; Lagomorpha; Leporidae
Description: lncRNA (ENSOCUG00000034561.1)
Source: RNAcentral
AAUGUCCUGCUGAAAACUCAGCUGAGUUCCUGGCAGUGCGUGACGUCAAGACACUUUAAAUGCCCCUGAUACGGCUCCCUCCUGCCCGCUCUCCCUUUUCCCGGCCCUUGGCACCACGUGGGGGCGAGACUGAGAGGUUCUUACCACGUGGGAAUCAGCCAGUUAGACGGUCCCCGGGUAUCGCCAGAUCUGCCAGGCGCCCUCCUCUUGGACUGGGUUUCUGGGGCCGACAAGACGAACAUGGGCGACCCUUGCCUGCUUUGAACCCCAGCUUCUGCGUCACCUUCAUCGCUGACAACGAGGGCCCAAUCCCAGCGAUACCCGGAGGUGCACCAGGUGGGUCAGAGCCACAGCUUUGUUCCAUCCUGGUAAGCUGUGACCCCUGACCCCUCAGGAGCGUUCACUCCCCUCACUGCCCUCGCCACCGUUCUCCCCUGAAAUCUACCUCUGAGCCUGCCUGAUAAAGGGACAAAAACCCUCUGCAGCCUCCGACUGACCCCAAUCCCCACCGGCUGAACGCUGCAGCUUCUCCCUCUUGAGCCGAAGCCUGGCCGCUUCCCUACUGUCUCCUUACUCCAUCCCGAUCUCCCCUUGGCUACCAGGAGCAUCAUCCUAAAAGUUAUAUGAAUAAAUACUCAGCCCUGUCGCCA